This 189-nucleotide ribosomal RNA is filed under the name Triticum aestivum (bread wheat). RNAcentral's name for it is "partial small subunit ribosomal RNA". Lineage: Eukaryota; Viridiplantae; Streptophyta; Magnoliopsida; Poales; Poaceae. The record is from RNAcentral.
GCCGGCAUCGAGCUGCGCACAGCGCCGUGCGACUUCCGGUUCCCGACCCAGAACCAGACGCGCCACUGCUACGUGCGCUACAUCGAGUACCACAGGUGCAUCAAGGCCAAGGAGGGCGACACGUCGGACUGCGGCAAGUUCCAGCGCUACUACACAUCUCUCUGCUCCUCUGCAACACCCCGCCAUUGA